RNAcentral lists this unclassified non-coding RNA (374 nucleotides) under uncultured bacterium. Its description in RNAcentral is "contains 16S-23S intergenic spacer region". The record is from RNAcentral.
UCCAGUUUGGCACCGGCAGUCUCCCUAGAGUUCCCGGCAUCACCCGCUGGCAACAUAGAACGUGGGUUGCGCUCGUUGCGGGACUUAACCCAACAUCUCACGACACGAGCUGACGACAGCCAUGCACCACCUGCACACCAGCAAAAGGGCCCCCAUCUCUGGAGGUUUCCGGUGUAUGUCAAACCCAGGUAAGGUUCUUCGCGUUGCAUCGAAUUAAUCCACAUGCUCCGCCGCUUGUGCGGGCCCCCGUCAAUUCCUUUGAGUUUCAGCCUUGCGGCCGUACUCCCCAGGCGGAGUGCUUAAUGCGUUAGCUGCAGCACUAAGGGGCGGAAACCCCCUAACACUUAGCACUCAUCGUUUACGGCGUGGACUAC